AAAAAGCUUGUAACAACAAUCUAUGGAAAUCUCAGUCUUACUAGAAGUAAACAUUUUGUUGUACACUUGUUUUCCACAUUGUUCUCCCACGUGGUUUGCACAUUGAUGCAAAAAACUAAUAUCAUUACUUUGAGAUGAAGCUAUUGUUGUUGUACAAAUGGAAGCAACCGAAAUAAGAAAAAAGCCAAGUCUUUCCAUGAGAAUUUAG
Molecule: long non-coding RNA, 208 nt
Filed under: Medicago truncatula (barrel medic)
Lineage: Eukaryota; Viridiplantae; Streptophyta; Magnoliopsida; Fabales; Fabaceae
Description: long non-coding RNA (MTRU_LNC003780)
Source: RNAcentral